AUUUACGGCCAUGCCACCCUGAACAAGCCCAAUGUCUGAUCUUGGAAGCUGAGAAGGGUCGGCCCUGGUUAGUACUGGGAUGGGAGACCACCUAGGAAGACCAUGUGCUAUAGGCA
RNAcentral lists this ribosomal RNA (116 nucleotides) under Pteropus alecto (black flying fox). The record is from RNAcentral. Lineage: Eukaryota; Metazoa; Chordata; Mammalia; Chiroptera; Pteropodidae.